GGAAAGAUUCAGCGGUAUGGGAUGGGGUCGCGUCCUAUCAGCUUGAUGGCGGGGUAACGGCCCACCAUGGCUUCGACGGGUAGCCGGCCUGAGAGGGCGACCGGCCACAUUGGGACUGAGAUACGGCCCAGACUCCUACGGGAGGCAGCAGUGGGGAAUAUUGCACAAUGGGCGCAAGCCUGAUGCAGCGACGCCGCGUGCGGGAUGACGGCCUUCGGGUUGUAAACCGCUUUUGACUGGGAGCAAGCCCUUCGGGGUGAGUGUACCUUUCGAAUAAGCACCGGCUAACUACGUGCCAGCAGCCGCGGUAAUACGUAGGGUGCAAGCGUUAUCCGGAAUUAUUGGGCGUAAAGGGCUCGUAGGCGGUUCGUCGCGUCCGGUGUGAAAGUCCAUCGCUUAACGGUGGAUCCGCGCCGGGUACGGGCGGGCUUGAGUGCGGUAGGGGAGACUGGAAUUCCCGGUGUAACGGUGGAAUGUGUAGAUAUCGGAAAGAACACCA
This 499-nucleotide ribosomal RNA is filed under the name Bifidobacterium adolescentis JCM 15918. RNAcentral's name for it is "bacterial SSU rRNA". It matches the Rfam family "Bacterial small subunit ribosomal RNA", at positions 201 to 711 of the family's 1533-position model. Lineage: Bacteria; Bacillati; Actinomycetota; Actinomycetes; Bifidobacteriales; Bifidobacteriaceae. The record is from RNAcentral.